GUUGCAGGCCAUUUGCCCGGGCCCAAUUAACCCAAACAAAAAUAAGAGCCCAAAACACCCUAAACCAAAUCAAAAAAAGAAAAAAACCAAAAAACCUAGCCUCCAGAAACCCUAGCCUCUGCCAUGCCCACCAACUCCCUGCCACCGCCGCAACCACCACCAACCACUCCCAUCAAAGCACCUGCAAGGACACGCAACAACAGAGAAAAGACAACAAAUAAUAUAAAAAAUGUAUUAGGGCUAUAUUAAGCCAUUGAAACCAAUGUAAAAGGGGGAUAUUUUUUUUGAAAUCGGGGAAGGAAACCGAUUAAGAACCUUUGUAAUACAAGAACGGUUCAGAAGAAAGAAAAGAUUGAAGGUUACUUUCUUUUUUUUUGUUUUUUUUCUUGAUUAUUUUAUUUCAAAAUAUUAAACAAAAAAGAAUAAAAGGAGGCAUCUUUACCUUAUUACCGA
This 453-nucleotide long non-coding RNA is filed under the name Gossypium barbadense (sea-island cotton). Its description in RNAcentral is "long non-coding RNA (GBAR_LNC019699)". The record is from RNAcentral. Lineage: Eukaryota; Viridiplantae; Streptophyta; Magnoliopsida; Malvales; Malvaceae.